GCCUGGGUGGCUCAGUCGGUCGAGCGCCCGACUUCAGCUCAGGUCACGAUCUCGCGGUCCGUGAGUUCGAGCCCCGCGUCAGGCU
Molecule: transfer RNA, 85 nt
Organism: Felis catus (domestic cat)
Lineage: Eukaryota; Metazoa; Chordata; Mammalia; Carnivora; Felidae
Rfam family: tRNA
About the family: Transfer RNA (tRNA) molecules are approximately 80 nucleotides in length. Their secondary structure includes four short double-helical elements and three loops (D, anti-codon, and T loops).
Source: Rfam